AGCGAACGCUGGCGGCAGGCCUAAAACAUGCAAGUCGAACGCCCGUAGCAAUACGGGAGUGGCAGACGGGUGAGUAACACGUGGGAACGUGCCCUUUGGUUCGGAACAACACAGGGAAACUUGUGCUAAUACCGGAUAAGCCCUUACGGGGAAAGAUUUAUCGCCAGAGGAUCGGCCCGCGUCUGAUUAGCUAGUUGGUGAGGUAACGGCUCACCAAGGCUACGAUCAGUAGCUGGCUGAGAGGAUGAUCAGCCACACUGGGACUGAGGACACGGCCCAGACUCCUACGGGAGGCAGCAGUUAGGAAUCUUGGACAAUGGGCGCAAGCCUGAUCCAGCCAUGCCGCGUGAGUGAUGAAGGCCUUAGGGUU
Molecule: ribosomal RNA, 370 nt
Filed under: uncultured bacterium
Lineage: Bacteria
Description: bacterial SSU rRNA
Rfam family: Bacterial small subunit ribosomal RNA
Source: RNAcentral